GGGGUUGUAGCUCAGUGGUUGAGUGCUUGCCUUGAAUGUAGGAGGCACUGGGUUCGAUCCUCAGCACCA
This 69-nucleotide transfer RNA is filed under the name Ictidomys tridecemlineatus (thirteen-lined ground squirrel). RNAcentral describes it as "Spermophilus tridecemlineatus (thirteen-lined ground squirrel) tRNA". It matches the Rfam family "tRNA". Rfam says of the family: Transfer RNA (tRNA) molecules are approximately 80 nucleotides in length. Their secondary structure includes four short double-helical elements and three loops (D, anti-codon, and T loops). The record is from Rfam by way of RNAcentral. Lineage: Eukaryota; Metazoa; Chordata; Mammalia; Rodentia; Sciuridae.